RNAcentral lists this microRNA precursor (84 nucleotides) under Seriola lalandi dorsalis. Its description in RNAcentral is "miRNA (ENSSLDG00000002636.1)". Lineage: Eukaryota; Metazoa; Chordata; Actinopteri; Carangiformes; Carangidae. The record is from RNAcentral.
UGAGGUAGUAAGUUGUGUUGUUGUGGGGGUGUGGGAUAUUGCAACCCCUAUUUUGGAGAUACAACUAUACAACUUACUGCCUUC